AUAAUAAAGAAAAAAAUUUUAUGUCAUAAAUUUAUAAUAUAUGUACAUACAUAAAUAUAUCUAAAUAAUACUAUAAAUAUAUUGUUCGUGUUUGUACAUACAUAUACGCCGAUACAUUUUAAAUGCUAUAUACCUAGAGAUUAAUUAAAUUUGUGGCACAUAAAUUGAUAAAAAUUUUGAUUUAAAUUCGUAUUAAGUAAAAAUAACAAAAAAGAAUAAAAAAAUUACAUAAAAAUUUAAAACUCACAUAAGAUAAUAUAGGAAAAAAAAUUUGCUAUUAUAAACUUAUCUAAAUAUAAUAUAUGUACAUAUACAUAUGCACAUAAAUUUGCAAAAAAAAAGGAAAAAUACAACAUUAAAAAAAAGAUAUUUAAUUAAAAUUCUUUUCCAAAUAAAAAUAAUAAAAUUAAUAAAAAUAAAAUAUUUAUAAUUGAAAUCAUAUUUUUUGUAAAAUAAAUUUUGCACCAACAACAACAACAAAAAUUGUUAAUAAAUUUUUACCAAUAAAAAAUUUAUAAAAAUUCGAAAAAAAAUGAGAAAUUAAAAUUGGAAAAAAUUAAAGUGCAUAAAAAUAUGAAUAAUUACAUAAAAAUAUCAAUUAAUAAUAAUAAUAAUAAUAAUAUUAUUUAAUAUAUAGAAUAAUAUUAAAAAUAUUAAUAAUUGAAUUGAUGACACAUUUUUGUUUUUUUUUUAUUCGCUCAUUUUUAAAUUUGCCCUACAGCAAUAAAAUUUAUAAUUUUGAUAAUUUUAAAAAAAAAUUCAUAAUAAUAAAUUCAACAGAGCAAAAAAAUAAAUAUUUCCAAAAUUAUUCAAUUAAAAAUAAUUUUAUUUGUGAAAAAAAAGAGAAAAAAAAUUAGAUUUAAACUAACAAGUAAAAUUCUUUAUAAAAUUAAAUAAAUUAAUGAAAAAAAAUAAAAUCACAAAAAAAAAGGAAAAUUGUGUAUAUGAAUAAUAAAUUAAAGUAAAUUUUUUUUUAUUAAUAAAAAAUAUUUCAGAUAUAAUUAAAAGAUUUUAACAAAAAUAUUAAAUACAGUGACAUUAAAGUGAUUUCUUCUGUUAAUGAUUUAUGACAAACGUACAACCCCAAAAUUAACCGCCGUCAAAAGAUAAAAACAAGUAAAACGGAAAGUAAAAAGGAAAACAAAAGAGAAAAAUAAUUAUUCCUCUAAAUUUUUUUCAUUUAUUUUUCUCAUAUGUUACAAUAGAUAGAUACAAAAAUUAAGUAUAUACAUGUAUGUAUGUAUAUAUUAAUAAAAUUGGCUGCACAUAUAUAAAAUUCAUUAUAAUUAAAUGUACAUGGUUGUAUAAAUAUAUAAAUUAAUUAAUUAUAUUAAUAAGUGUGCGUGUGUCAAUUUUGAUGUUUAUUGUGAAAAUUAAGAAUAGUCAUAAUACUCAUUUAAACAAACAAACAUACGUAUGCUCGUGUAUCUGUUAAAUGCUUUCUUUAUUUUGAACUUAGAAUACUAAAAAGAAGAAAAUAAUUUAAGUAAACUAUUAUAUUGAAAAAAAAAAAAUAAAUUAAUAAUAUAAAUGAAUAAAAGUUACAGUGAAAGGCAAAAAUUACAUAAAGAAUUUAAAUAAAAAUUAAAAAUAAGAGUAAUAAUUUAAGUGUAAGAGCAUAGCCUUUCGGAACUAACAGUAAACAAAGAAACAAUCUGUUAAACGUUAAAUAGAAAACGUCUUUUAAAAAAAUACUAGAGCAAGGGUUAUCCGUGUAAAGUGUGGUAUCAAAUUUUGUUGUCUAAAGUUGCAGUCGUAAAGUUACGACAACAUAUUGAGCUGAGAAAAAAUAUUCAUAAAAUUUAAUAAUAUACGUACGUUGAUCAUUAUGAAUUGAGACCAGCCCAUAACUAGAUUCACAAAAGAAGCGAAACCUUUCUGAUAAAAAUUAAGGUAAAUCAUUGAUGGUCAAAUGCAAAUCUAAAUAUA
Molecule: long non-coding RNA, 1929 nt
Organism: Condylostylus longicornis
Lineage: Eukaryota; Metazoa; Arthropoda; Insecta; Diptera; Dolichopodidae
Exons: 4
Source: RefSeq, a predicted model, not a curated record